This 761-nucleotide long non-coding RNA is filed under the name Solanum lycopersicum (tomato). RNAcentral describes it as "long non-coding RNA (SLYC_LNC001413)". Lineage: Eukaryota; Viridiplantae; Streptophyta; Magnoliopsida; Solanales; Solanaceae. The record is from RNAcentral.
GAACUUGUUAUUUGGUAAAUAAAAAAACUUAUAACAUGAGUGGAAAUACAAAUUGUGUCAUUUAAACUCCUAAUAUACUAGCAUUAGUGCAAAAGAAAAGAUUGCACUACCUCUCUAUGUUCUCCCUUGCAACCAUAUCUUGUCCCAACUUGAAAAGGGAAAGAAAUGAACUAAGUAAACCUCCUCACUUGCCUAUAUACAGACACUAAAAGUAUCAAAAUAUUGGAUAUUGUUUAAUCCUUGAGUACUAGAGCACAUUCUACAGCAUGCUAGCAGAUUUAAUGAAUGAAUCGGACGUAGAAGGAGGGGCUACAUGAUAUUAAGCAUUCACAUUCUCAGCAACAUCUAGAGCGCGGUUGAAAGAAGGGCACGAACCACACGAACCAAGAGAUCGAGGUUGAAUGGGUUAUAAUGGUGCUUAGGUUAUCCUUUUCCUCAUCCUUCAAACUGCACAGAAUGAAAAAAAGUUGGUCUUAUCAGAUAUCUACAAUGAACCGUUAUAUAGAAAGAAUCGUUGGAAUGUGAUCACUACAUGUCAAUAUCAUGUCGUUAGAUGAAGUUGAAAUGUCACAGAGUAAAUGAAAAAGAGGUAUGUAUACCUGGAAAGAUGGGAUCAUGUAAUAGUUCCCUCAAAGUAGAAUGCGCGGCUAUAGUGCAGUACAGAGCUUUUCCAGGUCAGGCACUUGUAAUUGCUAUGUUAGAUUGGAUAUUAGCAGCAGCAGCGCAGCGAGGUUAAACACUUGCAUUUGCAACUCGGCCAU